This 600-nucleotide ribosomal RNA is filed under the name uncultured bacterium. RNAcentral describes it as "bacterial SSU rRNA". The stretch from base 1 to 475 matches the Rfam family "Bacterial small subunit ribosomal RNA", at positions 93 to 546 of the family's 1533-position model. The record is from RNAcentral.
GAGUGGCGCACGGGUGAGUAACACGUGGGUACCACCCUAGAGAUCGGGACAACCAGGGGAAACUCUGGCUAAUACCGGAUGUGUCCGAGUUGACCUCGGUCGGCUCGGAGAAAGGUGGCCUCUGCUUGCAAGCCAUCGCUCUUGGACGGGCCCGCGGCCCAUUAGCUAGUUGGUGAGGUAACGGCUCACCAAGGCAGUGAUGGGUAGCUGGUCUGAGAGGAUGAUCAGCCACACUGGGACUGGAACACGGCCCAGACUCCUACGGGAGGCAGCAGUGGGGAAUUUUGCGCAAUGGGGGAAACCCUGACGCAGCAACGCCGCGUGGGUGAUGAAGGCCCUUGGGUCGUAAAGCCCUGUCGGGUGGGAAGAAUCCCCCGUCGGCGAAUAGUCGGCGGGGAUGACGGUACCACUAAAGGAAGCACCGGCUAACUCUGUGCCAGCAGCCGCGGUAAUACAGAGGGUGCAAGCGUGUUCCGGAAAUCCACUGGGGCCGUAAAAGCGCGUGGUAGGCUGGCCGGAAUUGGUGGUUCGAAGUUGUGGAAAAGCCCCUUCGGGGUUUUAAACCCGGAAGGGAAAGUUGGCCACUUCGGAAAACUUGGG